UGGACCUCCAGCCACGGCCAGGCCAGACUUGUGGACACAGGGGCAGUGUCACAUACAGACCACGGGGAGACAUGGCACUAGGGGACAAAUGGACUUGACGCCACAAUGCACAGGGCAGACCACAGAGCUCGACGGACAUGGGCAGGGGCCUUUUGGCAUUUCUCGCUGGAAUCAUGUGAGACAAGGGUGGUGGCCGCUCUGGAGGUGCCUGGGGGGUUCCCUCAUGACCUCUCUGGGCUUAGUCCGUCCUCCACACUGUUGUGCAGCUUCUCCACCGCCUGGUAGAGGAUAAAUACUGUUACCCUUAUCCCUGGUCACAUCCAGGGAGACGCGGUCCAGCGGCCCAGGCAGGGGACAGUGCCGUUGUAGAGGUCCUUGAGCCCCUCCUUCCUCAGUAUCUGCAGCCGUAGGCCGGUGUGUUCCGCAUUUGUGCUGCUCCAGGCCCCGCAUCCGGGUCUCGAUCCCAUCCAGAGGAGCGUUUCCCAAGACACUGGCUGCGCCCACAAUGGUUCCGAAGACCGCAGCGACCAGCGGGUCCAUGGGCUUGCUGGGGUUGUCCCCUCGGUACCAGUUGUGCAGGGAGGUCAGGAGGAGAAGCAGAGGGCCUGGUUCCAGCCCUGCUUCAGCGUGGGUGCCAUGAGGCCCCGGUGAGUCCCCUUGUUCUCGCACAAUCUCCCUAACCUGGUGGGAGACUCCUCUGCACUGGAGGUCUGGGAAGGUCUGGCCGUGGAUGAGCUUCACCUUGAUGGCGUCUAUGGAACAUACGACCACCAUGGCCUCGGCCACGCCAGCGCCCUGGCCGCACCGCAGCCAGCGCUGCUGUCAGGCAGUCCCUGGGCAUCGCGCGUCUGGCUGCUGUGGAACCGGAACAUUCAGAACCCAACGCCGCCCUGGAGACAGAGCCGCAGAGCAGGGAGCCGAGGCCGCGGUGCCGGCCCGGGACGCCGUGACCGCGACAGUGCGCACGCGGGAUCCAUGCGCGGUGCCCGGCUGGUGCCAGCGCUUGUCCUGCUGCAGCUACGACCUCCCGCGCUCCGUGGGGAGCGGACGCCCAUUUCAAUGCCGCCGGCCAGGCCGCCUGCUGGGGUCGCCUUCCCCGGAGCCUCCGCUGGGCCUUCCCGGACUCGGCGCGGCAUGGCCACGGCGGGCGGGAGGCGGGCGCCCGCUGUGAUCUGAAGUCCCAGCCUCCUAAACUCCGCACUGGGACCUUAAUUUGGUUUUAACACAAAUAAAGAUCUCACUAAAGAUAAAAAGGGAUGUCUUGGCUUCUAAUUUUUGUUAAAAGCAAUAGCAUUAUGUUGUAUAGGAUAGUGCAUUGGGGUAAAUCUUUAUUAUUUUUAUUUUUUCAUCAGCCCACUGACAUUGAAAGGGGAUAGUUUUUAGGUUAUUGACGAGCAGUUUUCUCUCAGAUAGGCCUUAGUGUAGGGGUUUGUGGUCACGUUGAUAAGAGGGUAGGCUGGGGUUAAAAGUCGUUAUGGCAGUAACAACCUUCUGAGGACCAGAAAAUUCAAAUCCCUCUCAUGAUACUUUGCUAAUAUCUCCCGAGUUUGCUGUGCCUUCCCUUUGUGCCUCUUCCCACAUGUGGUUUCUUGCACUUGGCCCAGCUAUAUUCCACUGUUUUGACUCCAUGCUUCUUAGCCUGGUGGCAGUGGUGAGGGAGUGAGGAGAUCUCUAAUGUUCUGAGGAAGCCUCAGACUUAGCACUGUAAACUGGGGUGUGGGGUUACUGACCAUUGAAGAGUUUCCUGCCCAUCCUGUAUAUGCAAUGCCAGGACAAAAGCAUAUUCCUGUCCCUCCUUGUCCAUGGUAGGGGAAACAUGCUCUUUCUCCAUGCUCUUAACUCCCAGUUGAAGUGGGCCUUGAACAGUGCCCUGUAAAUUAAUGGUUUCUUUUCUUUAUGGGAGAUGCAUCUGUGCAGAAAUGCGGGUGUUGGCCUUGUUCCUUCACCCUGAGUUCCAUGAGUUUUUCCCCAGUGCCCUUUGGCUCAGGUUUGGAUGCUCUUUCUCCACAGAUUAGGCCGUAUGUUAUAUAGGAGAGAUGUGAGGGCUGUGUCUCCAGAGUUGCAGGAGUGGAUGGGAUAGUGGUCCCUCCCCAUCAGCACUGUGGGACGUCUCAAGUAUUGCUGUGUGUUUCAAGUGGAGGAGGUCAGAUUACAACUGACAUUUGUCCUUGACUACUGGACAUAUCACACCAGCCCUGAUUGCAGUUAUACUUGAAGCCAGAUCUACCCUUAACAUAUAUUCGUUUUACUAUUCAAUAAAUAUUAACUUAUCCUGAA
RNAcentral lists this long non-coding RNA (2277 nucleotides) under Pongo abelii (Sumatran orangutan). RNAcentral describes it as "lincRNA". The record is from RNAcentral. Lineage: Eukaryota; Metazoa; Chordata; Mammalia; Primates; Hominidae.